This 497-nucleotide ribosomal RNA is filed under the name uncultured bacterium. Its description in RNAcentral is "partial 16S ribosomal RNA". It matches the Rfam family "Bacterial small subunit ribosomal RNA", at positions 28 to 507 of the family's 1533-position model. The record is from RNAcentral.
GAUGAACGCUGGCGGCGUGCCUAAUACAUGCAAGUCGAGCGAACUGACGAGAAGCUUGCUUUUCUGAUGUUAGCGGCGGACGGGUGAGUAACACGUGGAUAACCUACCUAUAAGACUGGGAUAACUUCGGGAAACCGGAGCUAAUACCGGAUAAUAUUUUGAACCGCAUGGUUCAAAAGUGAAAGACGGUCUUGCUGUCACUUAUAGAUGGAUCCGCGCUGCAUUAGCUAGUUGGUAAGGUAACGGCUUACCAAGGCAACGAUGCAUAGCCGACCUGAGAGGGUGAUCGGCCACACUGGAACUGAGACACGGUCCAGACUCCUACGGGAGGCAGCAGUAGGGAAUCUUCCGCAAUGGGCGAAAGCCUGACGGAGCAACGCCGCGUGAGUGAUGAAGGUCUUCGGAUCGUAAAACUCUGUUAUUAGGGAAGAACAUAUGUGUAAGUAACUGUGCACAUCUUGACGGUACCUAAUCAGAAGGCCACGGCUAACUACGUG